Molecule: ribosomal RNA, 447 nt
Filed under: uncultured bacterium
Lineage: Bacteria
Description: bacterial SSU rRNA
Rfam family: Bacterial small subunit ribosomal RNA
Source: RNAcentral
UCCAGACUCCUACGGGAGGCAGCAGUGGGGAAUAUUGCACAAUGGGCGAAAGCCUGAUGCAGCAACGCCGCGUGAAGGAAGAAGGUCUUCGGAUCGUAAACUUCUGUCCUUGGGGAAGAUAAUGACGGUACCCUUGGAGGAAGCCCCGGCUAACUACGUGCCAGCAGCCGCGGUAAUACGUAGGUGGCAAGCGUUAUCCGGAUUUACUGGGUGUAAAGGGCGUGUAGGCGGGAAAGCAAGUCAGAUGUGAAAACCAUGGGCUCAACCUGUGGCCUGCAUUUGAAACUGUUUUUCUUGAGUACUGGAGAGGCAGACGGAAUUCCUAGUGUAGCGGUGAAAUGCGUAGAUAUUAGGAGGAACACCAGUGGCGAAGGCGGUCUGCUGGACAGCAACUGACGCUGAGGCGCGAAAGCGUGGGGAGCAAACAGGAUUAGAUACCCGAGUAUC